This 947-nucleotide long non-coding RNA is filed under the name Rattus norvegicus (Norway rat). RNAcentral's name for it is "long non-coding RNA NONRATT017026". Lineage: Eukaryota; Metazoa; Chordata; Mammalia; Rodentia; Muridae. The record is from RNAcentral.
UGGGGUCAUCUGCAUCCUGUCAGCUCCAGGCUGUCCUGGGCUGCCUCUCCUCACCUCCACACUGAACAUCUGAAUCUGAAUGUGAACUCCUUGACCUGUGCAGUUCACUGGUGGGGAAGUUAAGGGAUUGAGCACAGUCAGAGCAUUGUGAAGGAAAUAAAUAGCAGAUGGAGAACCUUCCAGAAUCUGUGUUUCCUGUGCGAGUGUCAGGUGGGACAGGAGUUCUCUAUGGGAUCUUGUGUGACAAUGGGGUGGAGAGAGUCCUUUUGGGAAGCUAUGAAAGUAAGACCUGGAGUUUCCUAGAGAAUCCAAGAUAUGGGAGAAGCCAAUCUUCAUGAUUUGAGCAGGAAAAUCGCUAGCAGGUGUCAAUCGGCCUGGACAGAGAAGUGUGUUGCAUACAACACAGCUGACAGGACUUGGAGAUCUGAAGAGAGCUUAGGCGUCAGACAUGGGGAUGUAGUUUACAGUUUGUCCAGCUGGAGUUUAGUCUGUGAUCUAACACUGCCUCACUUUGCUGCUUUUCCUUCCUUCUGAAACAAAAAUGUACCCCCUGGGCCAUUGUGUGGUAGAAGUACAGCACGUGCACCUUGAUUUUCUUUCUAAAAAGGUUGUAUUAGGAGAUUGUCUUGAGUCACAGAAGAGACUAUGAAUUCUGAACUUUUAAGGUGUUGGAGACUGACAGAUUAUGGGGACUUUCGAAGCUGAAUUGAAUGUGUUUGACAUUAUGAUAGGCCUACAUACUUUGGACCAGGUAUGUUAGUUUGAAUGAAAAUGGCCCCCAUUGGCCUAUAGACUUGAAGGCUUGGUCAUUAGGGAGUGGCACUAUUUAAAGGGAUUAGGAGGUGUGUCACUGGGGUGGUCUUAAAAGUUUCCAAAUCCAGAGCUAGUCCCAGAGGCUCUCUUCCUGCUGCCUGAGGAACCAGAUGUAGAGUCCCCAGCUCCAUCUU